UGAGGAAUAUUGGUCAAUGGGAGAGAUCCUGAACCAGCCAAGCCGCGUGAGGGAAGACGGCACUACGUGUUGUAAACCUCUUUUGCCGGGGAACAAAAGCGGGGACGCGUCCCCGUCCGCGUGUACCCGGAGAAAAGCAUCGGCUAACUCCGUGCC
Molecule: ribosomal RNA, 156 nt
Filed under: uncultured bacterium
Lineage: Bacteria
Description: partial 16S ribosomal RNA
Rfam family: Bacterial small subunit ribosomal RNA
Source: RNAcentral